UAUUCUGUGAGUUGCGAACGGGUGAGUAACGCGUAGGUAACCUGCCUGGUAGCGGGGGAUAACUAUUGGAAACGAUAGCUAAUACCGCAUAAGAACAUUUACUGCAUGGUAGAUGUUUAAAAGGUGCAAAAGCAUCACUACCAGAUGGACCUGCGUUGUAUUAGCUAGUUGGUGAGGUAACGGCUCACCAAGGCAACGAUACAUAGCCGACCUGAGAGGGUGAUCGGCCACACUGGGACUGAGACACGGCCCAGACUCCUACGGGAGGCAGCAGUAGGGAAUCUUCGGCAAUGGGGGGAACCCUGACCGAGCAACGCCGCGUGAGUGAAGAAGGUUUUCGGAUCGUAAAGCUCUGUUGUUAAGGAAGAACGUGUGUGAGAGUGGAAAGUUCACACAGUGACGGUACUUAACCAGAAAGGGACGGCUAACUACGUGCCAGCAGCCGCGGUAAUACGUAGGUCCCGAGCGUUGUCCGGAUUUAUUGGGCGUAAAGCGAGCGCAGGCGGUUAGAUAAGUCUGAAGUGAAAGGCAGUGGCUCAACCAUUGUAGGCUUUGGAAACUGUUUAACUUGAGUGCAGAAGGGGAGAGUGGAAUUCCAUGUGUAGCGGUGAAAUGCGUAGAUAUAUGGAGGAACACCGGUGGCGAAAGCGGCUCUCUGGUCUGUAACUGACGCUGAGGCUCGAAAGCGUGGGGAGCGAACAGGAUUAGAUACCCUGGUAGUCCA
This 724-nucleotide ribosomal RNA is filed under the name uncultured Streptococcaceae bacterium. Its description in RNAcentral is "bacterial SSU rRNA". It matches the Rfam family "Bacterial small subunit ribosomal RNA", at positions 85 to 797 of the family's 1533-position model. The record is from RNAcentral. Lineage: Bacteria; Bacillati; Bacillota; Bacilli; Lactobacillales; Streptococcaceae.